Phrynosoma platyrhinos (Desert horned lizard) is the source of this 72-nucleotide non-coding RNA. The record is from the annotation of a GenBank genome assembly. Lineage: Eukaryota; Metazoa; Chordata; Lepidosauria; Squamata; Phrynosomatidae.
GCCAGUGUGGUGUAGUGGUUUAACAGUUGGACUUCAACUCCAGAGAUCAGGGUUUGAUUCAAAGCUUAGCCA